CCUACGGGAGACAGCAGUGGGGAAUAUUGCACAAUGGGGGAAACCCUGAUGCAGCGCCGCCGCGUGAGUGAAGAAGUAAUUCGGUAUGUAAAGCUCUAUCAGCAGGGAAGAAAAUGACGGUACCUGAGUAAGAAGCCCCGGCUAACUACGUGCCAGCAGCCGCGGUAAUACGUAGGGGGCAAGCGGUAUCCGGAUUUGAUGGGUGUAAAGGGAGCGUAGACGGCAGUGCAAGUCUGGAGUGAAAGGCGGGGGCUCAACCCACGGACUGCUCUGGAAACUGUACGGCUGGAGUGCAGGAGAGGUAAGUGGAAUUCCUAGUGUAGCGGUGAAAUGCGUAGAUAUUAGGAGGAACACCAGUGGCGAAGGCGGCUUACUGGACUGUAACUGACGUUGAGGCUCGAAAGCGUGGGGAGCAAACAGGAUUAGAUACCCUUGUAGUC
RNAcentral lists this ribosomal RNA (440 nucleotides) under uncultured bacterium. Its description in RNAcentral is "partial 16S ribosomal RNA". It matches the Rfam family "Bacterial small subunit ribosomal RNA", at positions 338 to 795 of the family's 1533-position model. The record is from RNAcentral.